Molecule: transfer RNA, 76 nt
Filed under: Ruminiclostridium sp.
Lineage: Bacteria; Bacillati; Bacillota; Clostridia; Eubacteriales; Oscillospiraceae
Also listed under: 1 other name
Description: tRNA-Pro
Rfam family: tRNA
About the family: Transfer RNA (tRNA) molecules are approximately 80 nucleotides in length. Their secondary structure includes four short double-helical elements and three loops (D, anti-codon, and T loops).
Source: RNAcentral
CCGGGUGUAGCGCAGUUGGUAGCGCGCCUGCUUUGGGAGCAGGAUGCCGGGCGUUCGAGUCGCCCCACUCGGACCA